GCCUGGGUGGCUCAGUCAGUUGAGCGCCCGACUUCAGCUCAGGUCAUGAUCUCACAGUUCGUGAGUUCGAGCCUUGCGUCAGGCC
Molecule: non-coding RNA, 85 nt
Organism: Felis catus (domestic cat)
Lineage: Eukaryota; Metazoa; Chordata; Mammalia; Carnivora; Felidae
Source: Rfam